Molecule: ribosomal RNA, 335 nt
Filed under: uncultured Acidobacteriota bacterium
Lineage: Bacteria; Pseudomonadati; Acidobacteriota
Description: bacterial SSU rRNA
Rfam family: Bacterial small subunit ribosomal RNA
Source: RNAcentral
UGGCGGCGUGCCUCAGACAUGCAAGUCAAACGCGAAAGAAGCCUUCGGGUUUCAAGUAGAGUGGCGUCCUGGUGAGUAACACGUAGGUAAUCUACCUUCGGGUGGGGAAUAACGCAGGGAAACUUGCGCUAAUACCGCAUAAUGCAGCGGCACCACAUGGUGACAGUUGUUAAAGCGGGGGAUUUUCGAACCUCGCGCCUGAAGAGGAGCCUGCGGCAGAUUAGCUAGUUGGUAGGGUAACGGCUUACCAAGGCGACGAUCUGUAGCCGGCCUGAGAGGGCGGUCGGCCACACUGACACUGACAUACGGGUCAGACUCCUACGGGAGGCAGCAGU